AUACGGACGGUCCGGGCGUUAUCCGGAUUUAUUGGGUUUAAAGGGAGCGCAGGCGGAGAUGCAAGCGUGACGUCAAAUUUCGGGGCUCAACCCCGUCUCGCGUCGCGAACUGCGUCCCUUGGUUGCGGGAAGGGGAGGCGGAACUCGUGGUGUAGCGGUGAAAUGCAUAGAUAUCACGAAGAACUCCGAUCGCGAAGGCAGCCUUCCGGCCCGUCAACGACGCUCAUGCUCGAAGGUGCGGGUAUCAAACAGGAUUAGAUACCCUGGUAGUCCGCACAGUAAACGAUGGACACCCGCGGUUUGGCCUAUAUGGCUGAGCCGCCAAGCGAAAGCGUUAAGUGUCCCACCUGGGGAGUACGCCGGCAACGGUGAAACUCAAAGGAAUUGGCGGGG
Molecule: ribosomal RNA, 393 nt
Filed under: uncultured bacterium
Lineage: Bacteria
Description: partial 16S ribosomal RNA
Rfam family: Bacterial small subunit ribosomal RNA
Source: RNAcentral